CACAAAUGUUCAAUGGUUUUUGGAUAUCUGGUUAAAUGAGAACUUAGAGAAUUUCAAGUUAUAAAACAAACAUACUUGCAAUGUAAAAUAAAUUAUAAAGACUUUGAACAAAAAGCACAGUUAAGAACUUUUUACGUUGUAGAAAAUAAACUAGAUGCAAAGAAGACGGAAGAGUAGUUAUUGAUAUAACAUAGCUGAAAGCCGAUAUUUUGUAUGUAAUAUUGAUAAAUUUGAUCUUUAAUGUAAAACCAUUACAAACUA
Xenia sp. Carnegie-2017 is the source of this 261-nucleotide long non-coding RNA. RefSeq lists it as uncharacterized. Lineage: Eukaryota; Metazoa; Cnidaria; Anthozoa; Malacalcyonacea; Xeniidae. The transcript is spliced from 2 exons. The record is from RefSeq and is a predicted model, not a curated record.